Molecule: non-coding RNA, 1285 nt
Organism: Cinara cedri
Lineage: Eukaryota; Metazoa; Arthropoda; Insecta; Hemiptera; Aphididae
Source: the annotation of a GenBank genome assembly
GUAUUUUUAUUUUCUAUACCUAUGGUCUCUAAUAGAAUGAACUAGAAUGGUUAUAAUAUUAUUUAAUGCGCAUGCGUAUAUUGCUCCGAAUAUAUUCCAACUGUUAUCGAAGAUGCCCGAUGGUUGUGCAGCUCAUUUUAUCUUUAAAAUAUGUAAGGGAAAUCAUUUCUUACUGUAGUUUAGUCGUGGACGGUAGUCGAAACAAUCGACGUGAAAUCUACAAAAAUCUGCAGUUUAGGUAAUCGAAUAAAACCAACGAACGAGCAGUUUACAGAAAUUGCUGGAUACAAAUACUAUUUCUCCUAUAACAGAUCUGUUUUGCAAUUAUAAAAUGCUUAUUUAAAUGAAUGAUCUUGUAAAUUGCAAAAUACCAUACACUAUACUAGUAAAGAAAGAAAUAUGCGAAUCAUUUAAUAGCUAUUUACGAGGUAAAUUUUCUAAAUUCGUUUUUAGCCGACGCGGAGUAAAAGCAAAAUUACCAUAUCGUUUGGAUACUACGAACAAAAUGGGCCACCGAAUUGUAUAAGUUAUUAAAAAGGAAGAUUCGGAAAUUUUAAAUAAAAAAUAUAAAAAUCCUGUAGCUAUUCCGUANUUAAAAUGUAUAACAAAUUUGUGUGCCAAAUUACCAGUCCUGGAGUCAACAAACAGAUCGGAAACCAUAUUAUUGACUUUAUCAUCUGUCCAGAUGCAAGUCUAGAGGAGACAUUUUCUUCUAAUCCAGCGAGAGAGUAUGGCAUAACAAGAGGUGAGAUAAAGGUGAGACCAAAAGUGUAUACUUCUUAAAAGGCUCUUUUAAAAAUGUUUUUAUAAAUAUUCACAUCUGAGAAAAACUUAAAGAAGAAGGAUACGUUCUAAUUCCGUUUAACGAAAUAGUAAUAAUAGUCUUCUCGACGGAAGAAACUUUUUAUAACAUUUAAUACUAAUGGAGUUACUACAUUUAAUGUAAUUCGCUGGCAAAGGUGGAAAAUGUUUAAUUUUUUUUAGAAGUAUUACGAGAUAUGUAUGAUUUACCUUUUAACCCGUCAGUGGUCGCGAUAAUUUGUGUAACAUCGUUGGGCGCAUGUGAGCGUGGCGCUCUUUACACCUGUUUUGCCAAUUUUGAAUGUAAUUUUUGUUAGUAUGAAUAAAUUAAAUAUCAUAAAUUCAAGUUUGUGGUUGUCGAUAAACAGUGUCGGCGUUGGGAUAAAUACCGGACAAAUCGGAAUUAGUCAUAAUUGGAAUAAAACAAAUACGUCACAGAAACAAAUUUCGUUACAUAUUGCAUUCUAUUCAUAUAGAUUUAAAU